Molecule: small nucleolar RNA, 132 nt
Organism: Perognathus longimembris pacificus (Pacific pocket mouse)
Lineage: Eukaryota; Metazoa; Chordata; Mammalia; Rodentia; Heteromyidae
Product: small nucleolar RNA SNORA33
Exons: 1
Source: RefSeq, a predicted model, not a curated record
AAGCCAGCCUGUUAGUCCGCUUACCUAAAUGUGUACAUGCAGAGAUUUAGAUAAAGCUGGCAAUAAGAGUGCCAUGAUAUGAGCCUUAAGGAAAAUCAAUGCCAUUAAAGUCCCCUGAGAAUGACUGCAACA